CCUACGGGUGGCAGCAGUGAGGAAUAUUGGUCAAUGGCCGGAAGGCUGAACCAGCCAUGCCGCGUGAAGGUCAGUGCCCUAUGGGCGUUAAACUUCUUUUGUGCGGGAGCAAUAAUGGUCACGUGUGGCCAGACGAGAGUACCGUACGAAUAAGCAUCGGCUAACUCCGUGUCAGCAGCCGCGGUAAUACGGGGGAUGCAAGCGUUAUCCGGAUUUAUUGGGGUUAAAGGGUGCGUAGGCUUUGAGGUAAGUCAGCGGAGAAAUUCCCCCGCUCAACGGGGUGAAGUGCCAUUGAUACUGCCUUGCUAGAGUGCGAAUGCCGUGGGAGGAAUGUGUGGUGUAGCGGUGAAAUGCAUAGAUAUCACACAGAACACCGAUUGCGAAGGCAUCUCACGAAUCCGCGAUUGACGCUGAUGCACGAAAGCGUGGGUAUCAAACAGGAUUAGAUACCCGUGUAGUC
RNAcentral lists this ribosomal RNA (460 nucleotides) under uncultured bacterium. Its description in RNAcentral is "partial 16S ribosomal RNA". It matches the Rfam family "Bacterial small subunit ribosomal RNA", at positions 338 to 795 of the family's 1533-position model. The record is from RNAcentral.